GAUGAACGCUGGCGGCGUGCCUAAUACAUGCAAGUCGAGCGAACAGAUAAGGAGCUUGCUCCUUUGACGUUAGCGGCGGACGGGUGAGUAACACGUGGGUAACCUAUCUAUAAGACUGGAAUAACUCCGGGAAACCGGGGCUAAUGCCGGAUAACAUGUUGAACCGCAUGGUUCUACAGUGAAAGGCGGCUUUGCUGUCACUUAUAGAUGGACCCGCGCCGUAUUAGCUAGUUGGUGAGGUAACGGCUCACCAAGGCAACGAUACGUAGCCGACCUGAGAGGGUGAUCGGCAACAAUGGAACUGAGACACGGUCCAGACUCCUACGGGAGGCAGCAGUAGGGAAUAUUCCACAAUGGGCGAAAGCCUGACGGAGAAACGCCGCGUGAGUGAUGAAGGUCUUCGGAUCGUAAAACUCUGUUAUUAGGAAAGAACAAAUGCGUAAGUAACUGUGCGCGUCUUGACGGUACCUAAUCAGAAAGCCACGGAUAACUAAGUG
Molecule: ribosomal RNA, 497 nt
Filed under: uncultured bacterium
Lineage: Bacteria
Description: partial 16S ribosomal RNA
Rfam family: Bacterial small subunit ribosomal RNA
Source: RNAcentral